RNAcentral lists this ribosomal RNA (501 nucleotides) under uncultured bacterium. Its description in RNAcentral is "bacterial SSU rRNA". It matches the Rfam family "Bacterial small subunit ribosomal RNA", at positions 791 to 1300 of the family's 1533-position model. The record is from RNAcentral.
UAGUCCACGCCGUAAACGAUGAUUACUCGCUGUAGGCGAUACACAGUCUGUGGCUAAGCGAAAGUUUUAAGUAAUCCACCUGGGGAGUACGAUCGCAAGAUUGAAACUCAAAGGAAUUGACGGGGGCCCGCACAAGCGGAGGAACAUGUGGUUUAAUUCGAUGAUACGCGAGGAACCUUACCUGGACUUAAAUGUAGAUUGCAUGAAUCAGAGAUGGUUCUUUCUUCGGACUAUUUACAAGGUGCUGCAUGGUUGUCGUCAGCUCGUGUCGUGAGAUGUUCGGUUAAGUCCGGCAACGAGCGCAACCCUCGUCUUUAGUUGCCAUCAUUAAGUUGGGCACUCUAGAGAGACUGCCGAUGUCAAAUCGGAGGAAGGUGGGGAUGACGUCAAGUCCUCAUGGCCCUUACGGCCAGGGCUACACACGUAAUACAAUGGAUGGUACAAAGAGAUGCAAACCAGUGAUGGGGAGCCAACCUCAAAAACCAUUCUCAGUCCGGAUUG